Vombatus ursinus (common wombat) is the source of this 239-nucleotide long non-coding RNA. RefSeq lists it as uncharacterized. The transcript is spliced from 3 exons. Lineage: Eukaryota; Metazoa; Chordata; Mammalia; Diprotodontia; Vombatidae. The record is from RefSeq and is a predicted model, not a curated record.
CACAGGAACGUUCCCUGAAAACUUAUUCUGGAAAGGCUUUCUACUAACUUUAAUGAAGAGAAUUUUUAGCAUUUUCAGAUUAACCAGAAAGAGAAGUAGGAAAGCCCCUGGAGUUUAGGAGAAUCACUUUGGCAGCUGUAUGAAACAUGCAUGAAGAAAGACCUGGAAGAAGAUCAGUGAGGAAACAGUCCAUAUGCAGAGAAUACAAAGAUCUAAGACAACUCCAAAAGACUCAUGAU